UAGGGAAUCUUCGGCAAUGGGGGCAACCCUGACCGAGCAACGCCGCGUGAGUGAAGAAGGUUUUCGGAUCGUAAAGCUCUGUUGUAAGAGAAGAACGUGUGUGAGAGUGGAAAGUUCACACAGUGACGGUAACUUACCAGAAAGGGACGGCUAACUACGGUGCCAG
This 166-nucleotide ribosomal RNA is filed under the name uncultured bacterium. RNAcentral describes it as "partial 16S rRNA". It matches the Rfam family "Bacterial small subunit ribosomal RNA", at positions 355 to 511 of the family's 1533-position model. The record is from RNAcentral.